GGUGGCUCAGUGGUAGAGUGCUUGCCUUGCAUGCAUGAGGACCUGGGUUUGAUUCCCCAGCACCA
RNAcentral lists this transfer RNA (65 nucleotides) under Dipodomys ordii (Ord's kangaroo rat). It matches the Rfam family "tRNA". Rfam says of the family: Transfer RNA (tRNA) molecules are approximately 80 nucleotides in length. Their secondary structure includes four short double-helical elements and three loops (D, anti-codon, and T loops). Lineage: Eukaryota; Metazoa; Chordata; Mammalia; Rodentia; Heteromyidae. The record is from Rfam by way of RNAcentral.